This 1032-nucleotide unclassified non-coding RNA is filed under the name Hevea brasiliensis (rubber tree). The record is from RNAcentral. Lineage: Eukaryota; Viridiplantae; Streptophyta; Magnoliopsida; Malpighiales; Euphorbiaceae.
UACAGCCACUGACCUGACAAAGGCUAAGAUUGUUUUGAACACAAUGGUAACAACUUUUUCAGCAUAUUGUAAAAGAAAAUUUGAGGUGGAACCAGUUGAAGUGAUAUAUUCUGAUGGAAAGGCAUAUGUCUAUCCUGACUUAUCUUCCUAUAAUAUGGAAGUUCCUCUAUCAUAUAUUACUGGCUCAAUUGGAGUUUCUUUUAGGGCAGAAGAGGUCACAAGUCUGUUAAAUCGGAUGCAAUUGCAAGCUGAGCAGUCUGUAUCUGAUGCUGAUCAAUGUAAUAUCAAUGUAUCUAUACCUCCAAGCAGAAGCGAUGUUCUUCACCCAUGUGAUGUUAUGGAGGAUGUUGCAAUUGCUUAUGGGUAUAAUAAUAUUCCAAAGAGAAAGCUACCAUCAUUGAAGCCAUUAGCAUUGAAUCAGCUUGAGGAUCUAAUUAGAGUGGAGGUUGCAAUGAACGGGUUUACAGAGGUUUUGACAUGGAUUUUAUGCUCUUAUCGGGAGAAUUUUUCCAUGUUAAAUAAAAAAGAUGAUGGAUCAACUGCUGUGAUUGUUGGAAAUCCUCGUUCAUCGGACUUCGAGGCUGUCCGAACCAGCCUUAUGCCUGGUGCUUUGAAAAUAGUUGGACAUAAUAAGGAUCAUCCAAAGCCAAUAAAGAUUUUUGAAGUGGGUGAUGUAGUACAUCUGGAUGAGAGUAAAGAUGUUGGUGCAGCAAAUCGUCGCCUACUUGCAGCUCUAUAUUGUGGCACUAACUCAGGAUUUGAGUUGAUUCAUUCCUUGGUCGACAGAGUCAUGGAAGUGAUGGGGACUCCUUUUGUACCAGUUGGUGACAAUACGGGGUAUUACAUUCAGUGUUCUGAUGCACCUGAGUUUCUUCAGGGUAGACAAGCAAGUAUCAUUUACAAGGGCAAGUGCAUUGGCAUUUUUGGUAUUGUGCACCCUGAGGUUUUGAACAACUUUGAUGUUCCUGAUCCAUGCUCCUUCUUGGAACUGGACAUUGAGUCUUUCUUAUAGGGUCUAUGACCACAAAUGUG